Crucibulum laeve is the source of this 86-nucleotide non-coding RNA. NCBI's taxonomy places the organism in Eukaryota, Fungi, Basidiomycota, Agaricomycetes, Agaricales, Nidulariaceae. The record is from the annotation of a GenBank genome assembly.
GGCGGCAUAGCUCAGCUGGGAGAGCAGCAGACUGAAGCCUUUCUGAGGUAUUCUGAAGGUCCCGUGUUCGAGCCACGGUGCUGCCA